UGCCAAACGUUUACUAUAAACAGCAGGGGAUAUCCCUGGCUUCUGUACUUCCCACAAAAAAUACCUACAAUGUAUCAAUACCAAUGUUUCAGAUGUUUUUCUUGCUGUCAUUCCCACAGACCCCUCAGCCAAUCUGUGGAAAAGACUAAUGCCACUCAACUGAUGGCAUGAACAACCAGGAUAGACUGGACUAAUUACCCUCAGGCAGUCCUUCCAAAUAUAAGGUGCUAUAGUUUGUCCCUGAAAUGUCCCUGAAAGGUCCAUGUGUUAAAGGCUUGGUCCCCAACCUGUAGCAUUAUUGGGAAGUAGCAGAACCUUUAAAAGGUGAUGCAUAGGGACUGGGGAUGUAGAGCUACAAGUGGUAGAGCACUUGCUUUGCCUAGUGUGCACAGGCCCUGGGUUCAAUACCUAGCGCACACACACACACACAAAUAUCAAGCUUAGUGGUAGGAAUUAGGUCACUGGAGAUGUGCCCUUGAAGGGGAUAUUGGGAACCUACCUUUUCUCAUCUUUGCUUCCUGGCUGUCACAGGCAAGAAUUUCCUCUGCAGUGUGCUCCCCACCAUGGUGUACUUGCCACAGGCCUAAAGGCAAUGAGGCACAAGUAACCAUGGACUUAUGAGCCAAAAUAAAUAAAACUUUCCUCUUUAUAAAUCGAUUAUAUCAGGUAUUUUUUUCAUUGACAGAAAAUAACACAUGAGGAUUAGACUUAAUUAUUCAAAGUAAACUGGAAACCCAAAGGUCUACCAACUGGCCAGGACCUUGGGGGACACUGACCCUUGUAAACAACACUUUCUCAGAGUGCCAUAUGUGCCCUUAUGACUAUAUUUCUUAUGUGAAAACUAGUUGGAUCAACCUCUCCAAAAGGGUGUACUGUAUUUUCAUGAUGAUCAUAAGAGAAUUUUGUGUUUUAGUAAACAUCAUGGAGCACAGAUCGUGCAACCCACAGAUAAUAAUGGAGAUAUUUCUAAAAUGAGGCUAUCCCUGGUUACUCACAGAACCUUUUUGAACUGAUAACUGACUUGCUGUUAAUAUACACAAUGGGAACAAUUAUUCCUAUUAUGUAACUCAUCUGAUUAAAAAGGCAAUGCAACUUUUGUCCCUGACUUUAGUUGAUCUGAUCAAUGGUACCACCAUGGCCCUGGAAGAUAUUCAGAUCAGCAUCAAAUGACUGGCCAGAAUUUAUUUAUAAAAAAUAGACUUUCUUAUAAGGCCAGGCCACAAUGGAGACUAUGCAAUAUCUAAUAUGGUUUCAUGACUUGGGCCAGAGUGGAAAGGUCAGUAUUUGAGAAAAACACCUAACUUUCUAGGGUAGACUUUAAUAAUUUAUGGAUUUGCUCAGCCUGUUGGAGGAGAGCUCUGGGGUCAGGAAUGAGGUUAAUAUAAGUUGGGCUCAUUCAGCUGCAAAUGCCUCACCACACCACUGACUAUAGCUAGUAAAUG
This 1442-nucleotide long non-coding RNA is filed under the name Marmota monax (woodchuck). The record is from RNAcentral. Lineage: Eukaryota; Metazoa; Chordata; Mammalia; Rodentia; Sciuridae.